This 73-nucleotide transfer RNA is filed under the name Bos indicus x Bos taurus (hybrid cattle). It matches the Rfam family "tRNA". From Rfam's summary of the family: Transfer RNA (tRNA) molecules are approximately 80 nucleotides in length. Their secondary structure includes four short double-helical elements and three loops (D, anti-codon, and T loops). Lineage: Eukaryota; Metazoa; Chordata; Mammalia; Artiodactyla; Bovidae. The record is from Rfam by way of RNAcentral.
UCCCUGGUAUUCCAGUGGCUAAGACUCUGUGCUCCCAAUGCAGGGGGCCCAGGUUCAAUCCCUGGCUGGAGAA